This 542-nucleotide long non-coding RNA is filed under the name Ananas comosus (pineapple). RNAcentral describes it as "long non-coding RNA (ACOM_LNC038153)". The record is from RNAcentral. Lineage: Eukaryota; Viridiplantae; Streptophyta; Magnoliopsida; Poales; Bromeliaceae.
UUUUUUUUUUGGAGAGAUAGGUAGCACGCUACCCGCUUCAUUUGUUUCAUUUAGAAAUAAACUUAGCUGGAAAUGUGAAUCAAUUAGGAUUCGAACUUGGGUCUCGGGUACCAACCACUAAGCCCUUUGCCACUUGCUCUAGAGACGGUCGGUGAAUUCAAAAGUUAUUAAAUACCUAUUUCGAUAUAAAGAAUACUUUUCUACUAGUACGGUUCAACAUAAAAAUACUUUUUGCUACAAAUGCUUUUAGAAUUUGAGAAAAAAUUGAAGUUUUUUUUCGCUGUGUUUUAGCAGAAAACGAAAACUCAAACUAUGUAAAAAAAAUUUUCAUUCAUAUUUUUUUCACCGAACCAAACAAAUAUGAAUUCUUUUUUUCAUAUCUGAAUACAUUAAGACUUUUGCAAGAUAAAGUUAGGUUUUUGAUUCAUCAUGUUUGUAGGGACAUGUAUGCAAUUAAUCUUUAAUUUUAUAUCACAAAAAUUUAGGAUUUCAAAAUAAUUUUAUAUUAUGUAAUCUAAGACUUUAUAUUAUUUAUUGUAUAU